This is a non-coding RNA of Ceratotherium simum simum (southern white rhinoceros), 1609 nucleotides long. The record is from RefSeq and is a predicted model, not a curated record. Lineage: Eukaryota; Metazoa; Chordata; Mammalia; Perissodactyla; Rhinocerotidae.
CGUGUGUGUCCAGAUGCCAGCCCAGCUGCCACAGGAGAUCCCUCUUGGAGACUGAAGGACAGGCUCUCAGGCCCAGGCUGAGGCCGACCAGCCCUGAGCCUUAGGGUAGGGGAAUGGCAGCCCCCCCGGAGCUGCAAGACCAGACCCCUGGGGAGGGAGAAGGGCUUCUGAUCGUGAAGGUGGAAGAUUCCUCCUGGGAGCAGGACUCUGCCCAGCAAGAGGACAGCAGGGAUUCUGAGGCCUGCCGCCAGCGCUUCCGGCAGUUCUGCUAUGGGGAUGCAGGCGGGCCUCAUGAGGCCUUCAGCCAGCUUUGGGAGCUCUGCUGCCGCUGGCUGCGGCCCGAGCUGCACACCAAGGAGCAGAUCCUGGAGCUGCUGGUGCUGGAGCAGUUCCUGAGUGUGCUGCCUGGGGACGUCCAGGGCUGGGUGCGUGAGCAGUGCCCAGGGAGCGGUGAGGAAGCCGUCGCCUUGGUGGAGGACCUGCGGAAGAAGCCAGUGAAAGCUUGGCCACAGGGAUUAAACUCUGUCUCCCCGGUCUGGUGUCGGUGCUGACAAGCAUGUUGUGGUUCCUGCACAGGAUGUGCCCUCAGAGGAAGUGGAACCCGAGGCUGCAGUCCAAGGAUCCCAGGCCAAGGGGCCUCCCCCGAAGGUGGGGGCACGAAGCUGGCCGUCUGUACGCUGGGAGCAGCACAGCCAUGGUGCCCAGUUUCCUGCUCUUCUUAAAGAGGGGAGUGCCAGAGAGGCGACGGACACCUGCUUGGCCUCUGGCGUCCAUGGACCUGUGACGUUUGGAGACAUUCCCUUCUAUUUCUCCCUGGAAGAAUGGGGGUCCCUAGACCCUGCUCAGAGGGAUCUCUUCUGGGACAUAAAGCGGGAAAACACCCGGAACGUUGCCCUGGGUUUGGGGCUUAGGAGCCAAAGCGAGCGAUCCCGGCCUGAGGAGGCGCUCCCGGUCCAGGCCGGCGGCGACGUGACUGUGUCCUGGAGCCCUGCGGAGGCCGAGGCCUGGGAAAGCGAGGCCCGGCCGGGGACGGCCCCAGGGCGGGCGGUGGGGGCGCGGCGGGGGCGGCCGCCCACGCGCCGGCGUCAGUUCCGGGACCUGGCGGCAGAGAAGCCGCACAGCUGCGGCCAGUGCGGCAAGCGCUUCCGCUGGGGCUCCGACCUGGCACGCCACCAGCGCACACACACGGGCGAGAAGCCGCACAAGUGCCAGGAGUGCGAGAAGAGCUUCCGCAGCUCCUCGGACCUGGUGCGCCACCAGGGUGUGCACACGGGCCAGAAGCCCUUCUCGUGCUCCGAGUGCGGCAAGAGCUUCAGCCGCAGCGCCUACCUGGCCGACCACCAGCGCAUCCACACCGGCGAGAAGCCCUUCGGCUGCAGCGACUGCGGCAAGAGCUUCUCGCUGCGCUCCUACCUGCUGGAUCACCGGCGCGUGCACACAGGCGAGCGACCCUUCGGCUGCGGCGAAUGCGACAAGAGCUUCAAGCAGCGCGCCCACCUCAUCGCCCACCAGAGCCUGCACGCCAAGAUGGCCCAGCCCGUGGGGUGAGGGCCAGAGCGAGGGGGUGUCUCCCCAGCACGACCUCUUCCCUCCCCCUCGGGAAUUCUCC